Molecule: long non-coding RNA, 1393 nt
Filed under: Sus scrofa (pig)
Lineage: Eukaryota; Metazoa; Chordata; Mammalia; Artiodactyla; Suidae
Description: lncRNA (ENSSSCG00050032109.1)
Source: RNAcentral
GGGGGCUCGUUCUAACCAAGAGACGAGGGCAAAGCUAAGGAGAGGUGUGAUUGUGUGCAUGUGAUUAUGUCACACAAGAUUGUUGCAGCCCUCUUGUCAGGAUGCCUCCUCCCCUGCUGGCUUUGAAGAAAAGCAGGUGCCGCAGUGUGAACUGCCUACGGAGAGGGUGAGAUUUCCGAGAUACCAGCUGACACCAAGCAAGAAGCGGAGCCCUCUGCCUGACACCUGUAAAGAACUGAAUUCUGUCCAAACCACAUGAACUUGCAAGCAGGUGGAUUCUGCCCCAGUCAGGCCUCAGAUGAGACCCCAGCCCUGGCCAACCCCUCGACUGAAGCCCUGCAGAGAGUCAGGCUCAGACUCCUUUGAGAAACUGAAGCAUAAAUGAGCAUUGUUUUAAGAUGAUAUUUUAUUGUGAGGCAGCUCAUAUAAGAUCUAUAGGUGAAGAGUCCUGUAUGGGAUGGUUAGGGGACAUGAAAACGUAUAAGGAACUCAGCACUUCACGAGCUCCCUGGCAGUGAAGGUGAGAAAGGAAACUCAGCAAGUUUUCACCAUUUGACAACAGGAAAGAAAUCUUUCUAAAGAGGCCACUUGGCUCGUGAUUCUAAGAAGAACUUGUCAUGUGGGCAACAGAAUCUACAACCAGAGCGUAGUGUCUGUAGGGCCUGGACCUACUGCAGUUCAAGAUCCUUCCUCAUCCAGCCUUCCUUCCUGCCCGAGCUCUUGGCACAUUGCACCCUCCUCUUUGCUGCCCUCUUCCGGGACUGCCCUUCUCCCUUUUCUGCCUGUUGACUCCCACAUUCAAGGACCAGCUUGGUCCUGUGGCCUCUUCUGCAAAGGCUUCCUCAGUUCCCUAGCAGAAAUAACUCUUUCCUCCUGAUCUCCCAAAUCUGUGUUAUCAAGACAUCAUGUCAUAUUUUUAACUUCUGAUUUAUUUUUUAUUGAGCACCUACUAAAUGCUAGGCCUCCUGUUGGGUGCAAAAGAUAGAGUCACAAAUAACAGCAGCAGGCUCUCCUUAGGGCCUACAGCCUGGCCCCUCCUCUCCUCUUUUUGGGGCCAGUUCCUCUCUGCAUCCUCGGAGCUCAGCCCGGCAGACAGCAGCCACGAGUCUCCAUGUUGGUUAAAUCCUUGGGAUUUAGUGACUUGAAUUUUAGCCUGACAUCUUGGCCUGACUUUGGGUUCUAGAAGGACCACUCAGCACUCUGUCCAUCCUCGGGGCCCUGCCUCUGCCCAGCCCCCAUCUCCAUUCCCCCGGAUGUUGCUGCACUGAGGCCACCGCGAUGACACAUCUCCAGGCUCUGAUCUCUUCCUCAACCCGACAGCUCGGCCCAGGCAGUUUCCAGCUGAUGGUAUGGGAUUAAUAAAGACUGUAGGAAGCCUUUGUUCUUAAAAAAG